Molecule: ribosomal RNA, 492 nt
Filed under: uncultured bacterium
Lineage: Bacteria
Description: partial 16S ribosomal RNA
Rfam family: Bacterial small subunit ribosomal RNA
Source: RNAcentral
AUUGAACGCUGGCGGCAUGCUUUACACAUGCAAGUCGAACGGUAACAGGCCUUCGGGUGCUGACGAGUGGCGAACGGGUGAGUAAUGCAUCGGAACGUGCCCAGAGGUUGGGGAUAACGCAGCGAAAGCUGUGCUAAUACCGCAUGUGAUCUGAGGAUGAAAGCGGGGGACCAGGCAGCAAUGUUUGGCCUCGCGCCUUUGGAGCGGCCGAUGUCAGAUUAGGUAGUUGGUGGGGUAAAGGCCUACCAAGCCGACGAUCUGUAGCUGGUCUGAGAGGACGACCAGCCACACUGGGACUGAGACACGGCCCAGACUCCUACGGGAGGCAGCAGUGGGGAAUUUUGGACAAUGGGCGCAAGCCUGAUCCAGCAAUGCCGCGUGCGGGAAGAAGGCCUUCGGGUUGUAAACCGCUUUUGUACGGAACGAAAAGGCUCUGGCUAAUACCUGGGGCUGAUGACGGUACCGUAAGAAUAAGCACCGGCUAACUACGUG